UAUUAAAUUUGUUUAACACCAUGUUCCCGCGAUAAUUAAAAUCCUCCAUUUUAUAAAAAAAAUGGAUUUUAUUUUCUAAGCUAUUUUUGAUACUUCUCUACUAUAAAUUUACUGAUAUGGAAAGUACAGAAUAAGAAAUAAAGGUAUUCUGGUUAGAGCAAAAUAUAUUUUGAUUCCACUUCUCUACUUACAUAAAUUUUCUGCUAUGGAAGGCACAGAAUUAGAAAGUAUAAAGUGAAUAAACUUGUUCAUAAUUAUCAACCUGUCAAAAUUCCAUUUGUUUUCCAGCCAACAAGAACAGAAUGGGAAAAAUAUCAUUCUGAUAAAUUAGGCCUGAAUUUGAUUGUGUCACAAAGUACUCAAAAUCAUUAUUUAUUAAGCUUGGGGGAUCCUGAUGAUAUUGAUCCAAUUAUAAGUGAUGGAAAUUGCUUUUUCAGAUGUCUUAGCAAGGAAAUCAGCAAUGCUGAGCAUCAUCAUGAAAUGAUCAGGACUAUUCUGAUUUCUUUUAUGCUUCAAAAAAAGCACAUCAACUUCUUUAGAGGGUUCAUAGGGGAUAGCACAAUGGAUUACUUACAUUGUGAAGAACAAAAUGGGUUGCAAUGGUACAUGGGCAACAGAUAUUGAGAUUUCCUGUGCUGCAACAUUGCUUCAAACUAAUAUCUUUGUUUUUUUAAAUCAUAAAUGGCUUUUAUUUUAUCCAUUAUUUAUUAUUCCUGAUAUAAAUAAAUUUAUUGGUUGUAUCUAUAUAAGAAAUU
Molecule: long non-coding RNA, 755 nt
Organism: Gordionus sp. m RMFG-2023
Lineage: Eukaryota; Metazoa; Nematomorpha; Gordioida; Chordodea; Parachordodidae
Exons: 4
Source: RefSeq, a predicted model, not a curated record